This is a long non-coding RNA of Dermacentor silvarum, 419 nucleotides long. RefSeq lists it as uncharacterized. The transcript has 4 exons. The record is from RefSeq and is a predicted model, not a curated record. NCBI's taxonomy places the organism in Eukaryota, Metazoa, Arthropoda, Arachnida, Ixodida, Ixodidae.
CGCCUACACGCUGGGUUGGAUUCCUCCAGCACAAACAACUGUACGAGUACUCGCUAAUGGCGGACGGUGGAGGUGGUGUUCCUGUCGCAUUUGUGAUUUCACACUAAAUAGGAAGGAAUCGGCGCUGGAUUGUUACACAACUGUUGCACCAGUGAAGGAUGUCUGUGUGCCGCCUUGCAUUCAGUUUCUCAGUCAUGGGGGCCUGCUUGCAACACCAGUGGCAAAGCAGUCUUGCAUUGUGCUAUUUGUUCUGGAAGGACACAAGCAUUGAGGAGCCAUUUGACCUGCCACUACACUGAUACGGUAUUUGGCAAAGGCAGGAGGCAUCUGCAAGCAACCAGUCAUUCCGAUUCUCAACCAAUCCUUCUAGUCAGCCCAUUUCUAGUGUCUUAUCUUGCAAGUUUUUUUCAAUAAAGCAU